AUACUUACCUGGCACAGGAGAUACCGGAUCACGAAGGCGGUUCUCCCAGGGCGAGGGUCACCAUUGCACUCCCGGGGGCGCUGACCCUGCGAUUAACCAAAUGUGGGUUUAAAUCGAGUGCGCAAUUUUGUUAGUGGGGGACUGCGUUCGCGCUAUCCCCUA
Molecule: small nuclear RNA, 162 nt
Filed under: Penaeus monodon (black tiger shrimp)
Lineage: Eukaryota; Metazoa; Arthropoda; Malacostraca; Decapoda; Penaeidae
Description: U1 spliceosomal RNA
Rfam family: U1 spliceosomal RNA
About the family: U1 is a small nuclear RNA (snRNA) component of the spliceosome (involved in pre-mRNA splicing). Its 5' end forms complementary base pairs with the 5' splice junction, thus defining the 5' donor site of an intron.
Source: RNAcentral